CCUAAUCCUAAACCUAAUCUCAAUCCGGAUAAUAACCUCAGUUCUAAUCCUAACCCCAAUCGCAAUCCUAAUCUUAACCCCACCUCAAUCCCUGAACCUUGACCCCGAUACCAACCUUAAUUGGAACUCAAGCCUCAAAUCUAACCUUAACCCUAACCCCCUUGGGACUUAAAAAGUGGAUAUCAGGAAUCCCACAAGUCUGAAACAAAAGUAUGAGAGCCCAAUUAUCCUCUUGGAGGAAAAGGUUACUCUUAUCUGUUCUUUUUUAGGGAUAAACCAUAACAUCUUUCUUUGGGGUAUAUCUCCCAAUUUCCUGUAGGACUAUGAUGUAUCAAUAGGAGAAAUAGAAUUAGAGAACAUGUGCCCGUGUAUUUGGUCCUCUUGAAGGGCAAUUUUCUCUUAAACCUAACCCGCCAGAGCCCUGUUCUCCUCCUCCUAAUUAGAUACUUUUACCCAGAGAAACUUGAAUCUCAUAUAUCAGGAGCACUUUUAUAUUAUAAUUGGAACCUUGUUAAUAUGUAAAUUAUUUUUGUUUUAUUAAAGUUGUCUUUUUCUUUUUUUCUUUUUUUGUCUUAUGUGUUUUGGCCCUGUUUUCUUUUGAUUCAUUUAUUUGGAAUUUCUUUAGAGGUCUUCUUGUAGUGGGGAACGAUGUCAUAACAAAACCACAUUUUCCCUUCGUGUAGAUUGGUUUAUACAAGGAAGGUGAAAAAACAAUGGGAAAUUUGUAGAAUUAAGGACAGGUGUGUUGGAGGGUAUAGGAUGGACAUAAUAGUCCACCAAUGGAAGGUCAGGCUUAGUAGCUUAAACCCCUCCCCUCACCCGUUCUCAUACUAUAUGGGCUGGCCUCUUCUCAUUUUCUGUCUAUUUCCUCUGAAGAAGCACGAAUUGUGCGAAACGUCAGGAAUUUUUUCUUCCAAAUUUUAAACAAUACUCCUUUUAUCUUUUUACCUUGAAACCAAAAAGGUUUUGAUAAUGUGAAUCAGAAGAGGAUUACUGUAUCUCACUAUUUUAAAAAGGACACCAUUUUUCCUACAAACAAAGAUAAGCACAUGGACCUUUGGAGACUUGGUGGAAGAGCUCUUUUCCGUGUGAGAUAUCCAUUUCUCUGGGUUGGUGAGUACUCCCAAAAUCACUGUGUGUACACAUGAAGAUUUGAACAUUUGGAGUGACUUGAAGUGGAACCACUAUCAGAAUUGAACCAUAAAGGAGUGAUCACUUUUGAAUGGAGUGUUUUUCUCCCACCUGAGUGGGGGGUUUUUUUUCUCACCUUUGUGUGUUUUUAUGGAGUGACACCUAACCUAAAGUGGUAAUUUCCUACGGAUCUGGGGUAACCACCAGUUGGCAACGGACAAUUUUUUGUUGUUGGAGUAAAUGAGUUUUGGGAGUUCCAGCAAGGGUUCCUGGUUUUGAACCUUUACCAUGGCAGUGCCACUACAUAACCGUUUCCAGGCUCUAGUUAGUUUAAAUGAUGAGGGGAUGGUAAGACAGGUGAACAAAUUGGCGGCCUUUAU
Molecule: long non-coding RNA, 1511 nt
Organism: Coregonus clupeaformis (lake whitefish)
Lineage: Eukaryota; Metazoa; Chordata; Actinopteri; Salmoniformes; Salmonidae
Exons: 3
Source: RefSeq, a predicted model, not a curated record